Long non-coding RNA from Prunus avium (sweet cherry), 956 nucleotides. RefSeq lists it as uncharacterized. Lineage: Eukaryota; Viridiplantae; Streptophyta; Magnoliopsida; Rosales; Rosaceae. The record is from RefSeq and is a predicted model, not a curated record.
ACGGUUCAAGCAUACAGGAGCCAUGCCCAAACUGGAAUCUAACGGUUCAGUUCGGUUCGAGCAUCGGUGUAGAGAAAAUGGAGAACAGAGCCAGUCCGAUUCGGUUUGGUAGGUAAAUCAGUUUGGUUGGUCCAAAAUGCCAGCCCUAGAAGAAACAGAGGAGGGAAUAAAAUGAAAGAGUGAAAUAGGAUGUGGGGUUUGGGUGUGUGAUGGUGGGGCGGUGGGGUUGGUCCAGAUGAGGGAGAAGUGGGGAGGGCUGACAGGGAUGAGGAAGGAAGAAAAAAAUAAAAAAUAAAAAUAGUCCCAGUCCAGCUCGAGCAAUAGUGGCAACGUCUCAGCUGGCCGUUGAAGUGAGGGACCGAAUUGAAGAGAACGAAACCGAGAAGAAGCUAUUCGAUAGGCUUCGUCUCGGCACGGCACGCCUCGCAAUUUCGGCCCCGGGCGGAUGGGUUCGGGAUCAGUCAGAAAACGUGAUCAAACCAAACAUUUGGGGCUGGGAGUUGCGCGGUUGGAAACUAAGUUUUGAGAAUUGAAUGAACUUCACUCACACCACAACAAAGGAGUGAAGAGUUUCUCCUCUUGAUCUGGAUGAGCUUGUCAAAGACACACCAUGGAAAGCUCAGGAAAUGAUCUCUUUCCAUUCCCUUGUUGCAGCGACCCCAGUAAUCAGGAUAAUAUGUAACAUGGUACCAAGCUGAUGCUUUUGCUGCUUGUACAUCAUUGAUAUCAGGCUUCAUAUCUGAAUGCAUUCCCAGCUUCUCAUCAAACCAGGUCCUAGCUUCCUUUCUCAAUGCCUUUAUAGCAUAAUGAAUCGACUCCAAGUCUUUUCCCCGGUUGAAAUUUUUUGAUACUGCAGUGAUGCUCCCACUUAGUAUUUCGGCUUCAGUUUUGUAGCCGUAGUAAUCCAUCAGGUUUCCCAGCUUGUAGUCAUACUCACUUUUGUAAUUGAUGGCAUC